AGAGUAGGCGCAGGUGGUUGCGGAUUUGCUGUUAUAGCGAAUCUGAGGAAAGUCCGGACUCCCGAAAGGCCAAACUUGCUGGGUAACGCCCAGUGCGGGCGACCGUGAGGAUAGUGCCACAGAAACAUACCGCCAAAGCAGUGCUGAACAAUGAGUGCUGUUAGUUUACAGGGCGUCAGCCCGUGCUGAGAAAAGAAAAGUCUCAGACUCAGCACUCAGGACUCAGAAGUGUUUUGGUAAGGGUGCAAAGGUGCGGUAAGAGCGCACCAGCAGCAUCGAGAGGUGCUGGCUCGGUAAACCCCGGUUGGGAGCAAGGUAGAAAGGAACUACGGUUGGUCUUUUACCAGUUCCUAGCAAUAAAACCGCUUGAGGCGUCUGGUAACAGCCGUCCCAGAUAGAUAACCGCCCUCCCAGCAGCAUUGCUGCUGCGGAGAACAGAACCCGGCUUAUGUCCGACUCUUUCC
Molecule: RNase P RNA, 464 nt
Filed under: Cyanobacteriota bacterium
Lineage: Bacteria; Bacillati; Cyanobacteriota
Description: RNase P RNA component class A
Rfam family: Bacterial RNase P class A
About the family: Ribonuclease P (RNase P) is a ubiquitous endoribonuclease, found in archaea, bacteria and eukarya as well as chloroplasts and mitochondria. Its best characterised activity is the generation of mature 5'-ends of tRNAs by cleaving the 5'-leader elements of precursor-tRNAs. Cellular RNase Ps are ribonucleoproteins.
Source: RNAcentral